This 492-nucleotide ribosomal RNA is filed under the name uncultured bacterium. RNAcentral describes it as "partial 16S ribosomal RNA". It matches the Rfam family "Bacterial small subunit ribosomal RNA", at positions 29 to 507 of the family's 1533-position model. The record is from RNAcentral.
AGUGAACGCUGGCGGUAGGCCUAACACAUGCAAGUCGAACGGCAGCACAGUACUAGCUUGCUCUUACGGGUGGCGAGUGGCGGACGGGUGAGGAAUACAUCGGACUCUACUUUUUCGUGGGGCUUAACGUAUGGAAACUUUCGCUAAUACCGCAUACGACCUACGGGUUAAAGCAGGGGAUCUUCCGACCUUGCGCGAUUUAAUGAGCCGAUGUCGGAUUAACUAGUUGGCGGGGUACAGGCCCACCAAGGCGACGAUCCGUAGCUGGUCUGAGCGGAUGAAGAGGGACAGUGGAAGUGAGACACGGUACAGAGUCCGACGGGAGGCAGAAGUGGGGAAUAGUGGAAAAAGGGCGCAAGACUGAUCAAGGCAUACCGCGUGGGUGAAGAAGGGCUGCGGGUUGUAAAGCCCUUUUGUUGGGAAAGAAAAGCAGCAGGUGAAUAGAAGGCUGUUGUGACGGUACCCAAAGAAUAAGCACCGGCUAACUUCGUG